CUCCGCGCCCAGCCCGCGGAGGGCUUUCCCUGGACUCCUGCGCUGAACCGCAGUGCGCCCGCUUCCCCCUUCUCUUGCUCUUUAUCACUCCUUUAAGAGCCCGGGUCCUGGUCACCAAGGGCACCAGUCAACUAAUGGCAGCCCCUGGACAGAGAGAGUCAAGGGCAGGGAGCGUUCGUGAUGCCCCUCGCAUCUCACCACGUGGGCCGAGGAGAGGGAGGGAAGAGGAAGAGGAAGAGCAGAGGAGGGGCCCGCCUGCGCGGCUGUGAGGACGGGAAGAGGCGCGGGAGCCCGAGCUCAGCUCCCUGUGACCCCAGCCCCCACCCCCAAAUGUCGCAAGCGGUGCCUUCCUCCCCCAGGGCAGCCUGGCUUGCUGGGCUGGUCUCCCAGGUCUGAAAGGACACGUUGGGGCACUCUCUAGCGAGCACGCAGUGUGUUGAGUGCUGGACCUAAUACCCUAACACCGCUCUGUGCCAUUUCACCUGAUCAGCACGAGUUCUGCGUUGGUUUGUCCAGGCGUUUUGCUAUUUACAACGACAGUCUCUUUCCCUGGAGCACUCUGACCUGGUCUUUUGUACCGGUGUUCAAGGGGAGGGUCCUGACUGGAGACUCAUAGGUUCCCAACUCUGAACACAGAAGAUACAAGCUCACAAAACACUGCAACGAAUAUGCGGCGGCCGUACCCCCACUGGCAGCAGCGGGAAGCUGAGGUGCCCUGCGGCCCCUCUGCAGCAUGAGUGAGCACCCCAGCGCCGCUGCACCGCGCUGUGCCCUGCACUGUGAGAGGAGCCAGGCCCUUCCUGGAAAAAAAGCUUCUGGAGCCAGAGGUUUGUAUUUGAGAAACUUCAAGGAUUUCUGAAAGGAAAAGCAUUUUAGACUUUCAAUUACAAACUACCUCAAAGUUUGUGAUUUGCACCCCAACAGUCAUUCAACCUGUCUGAACCUCAGUGUCCUUUACUCUAAAGGUAAAGACCUCUACUAUCUCUUCAAGCUAGAAAAUUCUGUGAUUUGAAUGCUUUUAAGGGAAGAAAGAAAGAAAGAAAGAAAGAAAGAAAGAAAGAAAGAAAGAAAAAAAAACCCUAAUGCAUAGUCAAAGUCCAAGAAACUUGAGACUUGAAUGGUCAACUUUUGAAAAAGUUUUGCAAAUGUUUUUAUUAUUUAUUGGGCAUUUACUAUGUGCCUGGGGUUGUAAAGAUACAACCUUGAAAAUAUAAGUAAAAGUCCCUUCCUUAUGGAGCUUUCACUCUGGUGGAGAUAGAUAGAUAGAUAGAUAGAUAGAUAGAUAGAUAGACAGACAGACAGACAGAUAGACAGACAGACAGAUAGAUAGUUAAAUAGAGUAUCCAGGUGGUGUCAACUGAUAUGGAGAGAAAUAAAGCAGAGAAGGAGUGUGGAACAUGUCAGGACUGGGUGAGGAGGGGAUGGGGACCAGGGAUACCAUUUUAUACAAAGACAUUAGGGAAGGUCUCCAGACAGAGGGAAGUGAGUAUAACGUUCCUCAGGUGGAGUCAUGCUUAGAGUGUUCUAGGAAGGACAAGGAAGGAAGCAGUGUGACUGGAGAUGAGUGCGAGAAAGGGGAAAGGGAGGGGAAGAUAGAUUUAGAGAGGAGGGGGCUCCGGCUCAUCCAGGGCCGUUGGGUGUUAGUGUGAGUGAGACGGGAUGUGACUGCAGGGCUGGGAGCUGAGGACUGACCUGGAAAAGCAGAGUAUGAGUUUGAGGCGUUUUCGAUAAGGAUUACGUGACUCUGGGGGCAGGGGCGACACUUGUUAGGUUGGAACGGCCUGUGGAACGUCAGCUGGAGGUGUUCCGCAGGGAUGAACUGCAGUUCCCAGGGAGGGCCUGGCUGGAGCUAUGCACUGGGACAUCCUGGGAUUGUAGGUGGGAUCUGGAGCCACAGCAGUGGGUAAAAUGGCUUAGGCUGCAUGUGUAGAGUCUGAAGAGAAGAGGGCCCAGGGCUGAGGCCUCGAGGGAGGAAUGGUAGCAUUUAGGGGUGGGCAGAGAAGGAGCCAGAAGGGAGACGAGGAAGGAGCACAGCAAGAAGCAAGAGAGAGGCGGCACAGGAAGCUAGAGAAGGUGGGACAGGAGGAGAGGUAGACUGGGCGGAAGCUGCGCAAGAUGAGGACAGAGAAGUGGCCCUGGAUUUGGCGUGUAGGGCUGGGCAGGAGCCUCAACUGAGCUGAUGUUUGAAGGAAGUUUCCAGCUGGCUUGGGCUGGGCUCUAUAGCUAGUUGUACAGCAGAUUAGGUGUUCCGAUGACCCUCCUAACUAAGCUCAAAUGCUGGGUUAAAUGUUUGUAUUUUAAAAGCUUUAUCAAUGGUUCCCUGAGAUAGAAUGAAAGCAAUAAAUCCACAGACUCCAAUAAUGAAGUUGAACUAGGAACCCUGGCGGAUGAGUGAACAAAGAUCGCUUUUACCUAAGGGUAUGCUGCCUCCUGGAGCCCCAGGCCUUCCACUGGCUGCUGUGCAAGUCUAGGGGAUGGAUGAGAUCAUGAUCAUGAAAUAAUACCACGGAGCAAAGCCUAGCGGUAUUCUCCUGCAUACAUCUGGAGCUCAGAAGGCUAUAUCCUCAGAAUAAAAGUGAAUAGGAAUAAAUCUGCCAUGAAGAAGGCAAUUAGCUUGGCUUGACCUUGGCUCUGGGUGGAGGGAAAACAAUCCUCCCAGGAUUUGCAACCAUAAGCAAGCCUCAAAUGUUUCCUUUUUUCAGUUUUAGUGGUUUUUUUUGGGGGGGGGCAGUAGGUUUACUUAUUUAAUUAUUUAUUUUAAUGGGGAUUCUGGGGCUUGAACCCAGGACCUCCUGCAUGUGAAGCAUGCGCUCUACCACUUGAGCUAUGUCCUCCCCCCAGCCUCAGAUUUUCUGUCCGAAUUCAUCUGUCUGUUGGCUUGAAAAAUCUCAAGCAUUUAAAUUUAAUUUAAAUGGUUUUGGUUUGGCAAUACUCUCAGAUAACCAGCAGAAUGUAAAGAACAUCCUUUCUAGGUACCUCAAACAACUUCAAUCCAGACCUCGAAAAAUUCUCACGGACAAAGUUUCAAGCAAAAAUGAAUAGUUCACCUUAAAAAUUUACAAAACAUACAAGGAAACAAGCUCUAUGACUGACAAUCAGUAGAAAAUAAACAAAAAAAAAAAAAUAGACAGCAAAAACAACCAAAGAUUUUGGAUAUUUGCAUUUCAGAUGGAGAGUAUAAAAUAAUUAUGUUUAGUUAGCUUCAACAAGAAGAGAGGCUUAACAACAUGAGCAGGAAUAAGAGACUUUAAAGAAUAAAAACAGGCAGGUGUGAGAAAUAACCAAAUACUGAAAAUGAGGACCAUAACACUAAAAAUGUAUGACUCAGUGGAUGGAUUAAACACUAGAGAAGAUGCAGCUGAAGAGAGAAUUAUUCAACUAGCAGACAGAGCCAAAGAAAUGAUUGAGAAUGCCAUUCGGAGUGAUAAAGAUAUGCCAAUUAUAAAAGUUAAAAGGCCAGAGGGUAGCAUGAUACACUCUACCUUGAAAUUGCAUUUCCUUCUAGAAUGGAACAGGGAGAGAAUGGGAAAGAGGCAACAUUCAGUGUUAAAUGCUGAUAAUUUUUCCAAAAUACUGGAGAUAAUUCCUUGGAUUUAGGAAGCCUAACAAAUCCAAAGAAAAAGAGAGACGGGAGGGGAGAGGGGAGAGAGAGAGAAAAGAAGAGGAGGAAGGAGAAGGAGGAGGGGAAGGAGGACGGGGAGGGGGCAGAGAAGAAAUGAAAAGCAGCGGGGGAGAGAAGGCAGCCACUCCACAAAGAAACACAAAUUGUCUACAACAGCCUGACAAAGACUGACUUGUAAACAGCAACCAUGAAGCCAGACGAGAGUGGAAAAUAUCUUCAACCUGCUGAGAAAAACGGUGGGAACCUAAAACUGAACACCCAGAGGAACUCUCGAGAAUGAAGGUGAAUGAGGACAAUUUUGGACAAAUAAAGACAGAGAGCUGACCCUUGAGUCCUCUCAUUACAGGACAUGCUGGAGCAUGCAGUCCAGGCGGAAGCUAAAUGACCCCCGCCUGGAAGUUUGAGAUUCAGAAGAAAUGGCGAGUAAACAGAGUGGCAGGUAUAUAAGUAAAAUAAGAAAAGAAUAAUUAUUAUUUACAAAAUAGAAUAUUUAUAUAAUAUUAUAAAAUUAUAAUGUAACACUUAAAACAAAUAUCUAUAAUAUAUACUUAUAAAAUAUUAUUUAUAAAAUAUUAAUAAAAUACCCAUUUAUAUAUGUGUUUGUCUGUGGGGGGUGGGGGGAUGGCAGACAGGCUAGAACCAAAAUCCUGGGUUACAGCAGUAGGUACCAUGGGAGGGGGCCCAGCAGGAGCCAAGCCUAUCUUGCUAGAAAGGAGGGUAAAGGUGUUGUUGACUUUUAACUCUAGAAUUUAGUCUAUAUGUACAAAUAGCCUUGGCAACUAUUAAAAGGACAGAGAUGGGAUAUGAGCCUUCCAAACUAGUAAGGGGGAAAAAGGAUGAAAAAAAGAAAAAGAAAAAAAAAUUACUUUUUUAGAGGGUAAAAGGAAGGCAGAGGAAGAAAUGGGUCAAGUAGAAAGUGUAUAACAAGAGCUAAGCAAAUAAAUCCAAAUGCAUUAUUCAUCAGAACAGAUGUAAACGGACUAAGCAUUAGAAGUGAAGCCCUCAACUGUCAGAUGGGAUUUUUUAGAAAAUCGGUUGUUUACAAGAGACUCUUAUCAACCACAUGGAGACACAGAUAGACUGAAAGGUAAAGGAUGGAAAAAGAUAUGCUAGGCAAGAGGUAACCAGCACAAAGUGGUGUCCCUGUAUUAACACCAGACAAAAAUCAAUGUUUAGGCAAAAUGUGUACAAGAGUUUUUAAACAGGUCACCUUAUAAUGAUAGCAUCUUUAAAUAGAAAGACAUAAAAAUUCUAAACCUGUAUGUCCCUAACAAUAUCAUCUCAAAAUAUACCAAGUAAAAGUUUGACAGAAUGAUAAGGAGAAAUGGAAAAAUCCACAUUCAUAAUGGGAGAUUUUAAAACAACUCUCUCAGUAAAUGGUGGAAAAUGCAGUCAAAAGGAAAUCUGUGUUUCAUGGAAAAUUUGAGCAGUGUGAGAUCUAACUGACAUUUCUUGAACGUUGCAUCUAAACUUGCAUACCUUCUUUGUAUGCACAUAGAACAGUGCAGAAAUGCUAGGUUAAAAAGCUGGCCUCAAGGGGUAUCAAAGGACUGAGGACUUUCAGACCACUUUUUUUUUAACGAGGCAAUUUAGCUAGAAAUCAGUAACAAAAGCAUAACCAGGAAACCCAAUAAAUAUGAAAUAUAUGAAAUAUAUAUGAAAUAUACAAAAACAAGACUUUUUAAAAACUUCUAAGCACCUCAUGAGUCAAAGAGGAAGUCAUGGUAGAAAUUGGAAAAUAAACAGAAUUGAAAGAAGAUGAAAACUUGUGAAAUAUACCAAAACCAUUGUAAAAUUCCACUGACGUGGUAUGACCAGGACGUUUAAGUAGUUAGAAAAGAAGAAAAGCUGAGGAUUUCUGAGCUAAGCACUAAUUUAGGAAGUUAUAGAAAGAACAUCAGAAUAAAGCUAAGGAAAAUAGGGGGACAGAGAGAGAUGAGCAGAAAUUAAUGAAACAGAAAGCAAGUCUGCAAUGGAUAGGAUCAACAAAAACUAAUCUUCUUUGAUGAGUCUCUGAUUAUCAAGAAAGAUGUGCACGGACGCAUGCAUUUAAAAUAGAUAAUAAUAAAAUAUUAUGAACAAUUUGGUCAAUAAAUUUGAAAGCUUAGAUUACACAGAUACAUUUCUAGUAGAAUACAAAUUGACACCACCGGUUCAAGAAGAAAUUGAAAACCUGAAUAUCCUUUAUCCCUAAAAGAAAAUAAAUGAAUAGCUUAAGAUCUUCUGUGAAAGAAAACACAAGACCCACCUGGCUUCUUAGAUCAGUUUUACCAAACUUUCAAGAAUAAUUUAUGCUUGAAGUGGAAUAGAAUAGAAAAAAUAGAGGGCACUUCCUAACUCUGGUGGAAGGUGUGACUGUAAAACUUUAGAGAACAAAAUAGGAAAAGUUUCUUAAACCUGACACAAAAUGUGCUCCAUUAUAAUCGAGAAAGCCACUGAGAAUUCACUAACAGUAAAAGGAAGAAUUUAGAUCACUGUUAUCCCUUCAGAAAAUAUGAUGACAUUAUCUCAUACAUUUAAACAUACAUUUAUUCCUUGAAACUUCACUGUUAUGUGUAGGCCCUUAAAAGACCUGAGUGCAUCAGAAGACAUGCGUAAAAAAAAUGCAUAAAAACAGUUCAGAACACUGAAGCUAGAAACAACCCAAAUGCCCAACAACUGCAGUAACAUAAAUAUAUAAACUGGCAUAAUCUUACACUGGAAUAGUGUAAAGCAGCUAAAAGGAACACACCACAGCCGCCCAGGGGAGAGUCUCACAAGCACACUGUGGACAUAAGAAGCAAAUCACAGAAGGCUUCAUUCAGUCUGGCUCCGUUUACAUAAAACUUAAAACCAGACAAAAUGAAAAAGACAUCAGGAUGGAUGCAGGUCAUUAUUUUGUUGAUUCUAAAAUACACUUGUUCACCUUUUAAUCUCUCUAAAAUAAGGAUGCAUCUUAUAAGCAGUUGUGUGUUGUCAUCAGCCUUAACAGCGCUUUUUCUUUCUUAGACAUGAAAUACUGAUGCACCUCACGAUUGCUGGAGGCUGAGGUUCAGUGAGACACGGCAGGUGGUAGCACUACAGAAAAACAGCAGGAUGACUCAGAACAUUUGGCAUCAUGAUUAUCUAUGCCAGGGAGGGAGGGGGCGAGGGAAUGGAAGGGGCACCUAGGAGAAUUCUGUUUUUUCACCCAGAUAGUGAGUAUAUUGGUAUUUGUUUUAUUAUAAUUCUUGAAACAGUGUAGACUCUCACAUGUAUGAGACUUUUUACAAUAAAAGAAGUGUGAGGAGGUAAGGAUGUAUGUAGUAACUCGGGAAGCCAGAGAGAGAAAGGGGAGAGAGAGGCACGUGGUGGAGGGGGAAGCUGUGGAGGAUGCUAUAGGAAACACGUGGUAAGACGGCCGGAGCGCCUGGGAGGCACCAGUCCAUCGCACAUGGAAAAAUCAGGAGAGAUGCUUCCCCUAUUGCAGCAAGAGAGACAAAGGAAAAGAUGGGUUUGUGGAAUAGCUGGUGGAAUUUUGCGCAGGUUUUCCUUGUGAUGGUUUCCAAUUCCUUUACGAGAGAUUUAUCUGUGCAGUAGGGGUAGUUGGCGGAAAUGGCAGGGGUGGACCAGUGGACGUGAGGAGCAGACUUCUAAAACGCUGAACGUGUAUUCAACGGCUACUGAGUGCCAGGUGUAAAUGAAGAGCCUUUUACAUCCAGUAUUCUGUCCGUCUCCCCCAUCAAAGUGGUGAGGUAUAGAAUCGCUUAGAAGCCACUAGCUUCCCAGGCUCACCAUAACAAGGUGCCACAGACGGCAUGACCCAAACGACAGAAAAUGACUUUCUCACGGUUCUGGAGGCUGGAAGCCCAAGGCCGAGGUGCUGGCAAUGCUGGUUUCCCCUGAGUCCUUGUCUUGGUUUGCAGGCGGCCUUUGUUCCUCUGCACGCCUGCUCAUGGCGUCUCUUCCCCUUCUAAACAUCAGCCCUGCUGGAUUAGGACUCUAUCCUCCGGCCUCAUUUUAACUUAAUUGCCCCUUUAAAUGCCCCAGCUCCAAAUACAGUCACAUUCUGAGGUACUGGGGGCUCCAGGUUCAACACCUGAAUUUGGGGGCGGGGGUAGGGGGUGGAGUGGGACACAAUUCAGCCCAUAACAAUGCCCAUAAAGAAAUGGAGACUCAGGUUGAACAACCGGCCAAGGGCACGCAGUUACCUUGUCAGAGCUGGGAUGCAAAUACAAGCAGAUCAGUCUCAGCAUCUGAAUGCCCAUCAUUCCACUAAAACACAGUCCUGGGUCUAGAAGAGUGGAAAUGAAUGGAAAGGGCUUUUGGAGAAUUAAAAAAAAAAAAAAAGCUGACCCAAAUAAAGGAGUAAUAUUAUCAGACUUUUCAGAGCUGUGCAGUCAGUCCCGGAAACAGAAUAGAUGGACUAUCCUCUCAUAGACUCCCUUUUUAAAUCUGAGCUUUAAUCAGAAAGACUGUAAUUUUGGCCAAAAUGGCAGGAAAGGCCAACAAUUUAGCAUCAGUUGAAAUCCUGUCCCUGAUCCCCUUUUAGAAGCCAGAUGCAACUUAUGGGCUGGAGAGGGUGACACCUGCUGGGCUCUGGGGAUUAUGGGUGGGAACCUGGCUCUUUUCAUAUGCAGUCCCCUGCUGCCCUCUGCUGGCCAGCUUUAGGAAUGCCCAGGAAUCUGCCAAAAGCCCUACUUCCCUUCAAAAAACACAAAUCUAUAGGGAAACGAGGCAAGAAUCUCCUGGAAUCAGACUGUGGAGUUUAUCAGUCCCACUCCCUUCCAUACACAUACACACAUUUCAAACCAACGGUACAGGCAGUCAGCUUUCACUUUGUCGCAUUCUGUGCCUGUGCAGCUGUUUUAAAACUUGCUUCCAGUGGUUUCAUCAUUAAAAAAACACACCUGCCGCCUUCUCAAAAAUUGUAUUUCCCAAGAUCUAGGAACAUGAGAAAUUGAAUGCAGGUUUUGACGACCCAACAAAAUACUGGUUUGCUCAUCAUUUCAUGCUUUCAAAAAUUAUAAACUUACUGUAGGUUUGUUCAACUUUUUAAAACCAUGAUUUCCUAGGUGGUAGUCCAAAGACCCCACCACUUGCUGACAACAUUUUUGUAAAAAUAAUUGUUUUCAUUUUCAAAUGUGACUUAAAAAAAAUCAGCAGUUCAUGCCUUUAGAAAUUAUAUGUCUGGGGAAAAUGUUCUAAGUAAUUAGGGAGAAGCAUAUAUAAGUGCCAGAAGAAACCACUGACCUCUUGAGAACUCCCGCAGCUCCUGGUCAACGUGCUUCACAGGAUGUGCGGCCUUGAGGACCGCAGCGAAAUUCAGAACAGGUGGGCUCAAGGGCCGUCAGUGUCCCCAUCCUCGCAUGGGUCCCCAGACCCCCUUUACACAGUUGCUAGAACGGGCAUUUAAAAUGCACAUCAAAUCAUAGCACCCUUCUGCCUCUGAUGAGGUCAAACGUCACAUCUUUGAUUUCAGAGUAAAAUACAAAUUCCUCACCAGCUUUACAAGGCCAAGUGACCUGACUCACGCCGGCCCCUCCAAGUCUGCCCUCGGCCCCCUUUCCUUCCCUUUCAGCUGUUUGCCUUUUCAUCCUUCAGGGAUCUCUCUGUGGCUCUAUUCCAAUAUUCUGCUCGAGCACGUGCUACAGUUUGUAACAAUCAUGUGUAUUGGUCUGCUGUUCAUUUCCUGUCUCUACCAUGAGGCAUCAUCCACCUUGGGUAAGUCCUUGUCCAUCUUGCUCUUUGCUGCAUCCCCAGGGCCUGAAGAGCACACAUGUAUCAGUGAAUGAGUGAACGAAGGAAGUGAGCACAGGAAGGAACUGAGAGGAUGCUGGCCUCGGAUCCACAGAGAGUGAGGUCAAGCCCGAAUGCUGUAUCCACGAGCCUCCCAGGCAGGGAGGGCAGCCUCAAGGCAGGCUGAUCCGGGGGUCCUUCAGGAAGGAGGCCAGCUUCUGGGCCACGGCGUCCAGCUUGGCCGGGCUGGCGUACUGCAGGAGGUUGCCCUUGCGCACGAAGUAGUGCUUCAGGAAGUGCUGGCUCACGCACUUGUGCAGCUUCCUCACCAGGCGCAGGAACGCUUUGCUGAAGACCCGCCAGUCCUUCGGGUCGGGAUACUUCUCGCAAGUCCAGAAGAGCACUGUCUGUGGAAGGAAGAGGUGGUGUCAGACAUCGAUCCUUUGGGGCGACUGAGGAGAGUGUCUUCAGGAACGUGACUCAACUCACGUGGCCUCAGAAGCAGGAGGCAGGACCGCCCAUGGCAAGCUGGUUCUGCCAUGGAUUCACGAUGCCCAACCUCAGGUGGGCCCUCAGCCUCAUCCUGCGGGUCUCCUACGCCUCUUUGGUACUUUAUUCUCUCUUCACGGGCAUCUCCAAUGAUCACCACUCUCCUUAAAUAUUCAAUUUCCCAUCCCCUGCAGAUGCUUUGCCGGAAACCCGCGUGCCCAUGAACCAGCAUCCUGCCUUCAUCAGCAUCUUCCUCUCUGCACCCUCUUAGCAGGGGCAAAUCCCUCUGCAGGGCUGGGCUCUCCUCUUCCAGGAUUUAUUUAUUCCAGUAAAUGAUUGAUUUCCCUCUU
This is a long non-coding RNA of Camelus dromedarius (Arabian camel), 10158 nucleotides long. RefSeq lists it as uncharacterized. NCBI's taxonomy places the organism in Eukaryota, Metazoa, Chordata, Mammalia, Artiodactyla, Camelidae. The transcript is spliced from 4 exons. The record is from RefSeq and is a predicted model, not a curated record.